CCCGUAGAUGUUCUGGGCCGCACGCGCGCUACACUGAUGCAUUCAACGAGCCUAUCCUUGACCGACAGGUCCGGGUAAUCUUUGAAUCUGCAUCGUGACGGGGAUAGAUUAUUGCAAUUAUUAAUCUUCAACGAGGAAUGCCUAGUAGGCGCAAGUCAUCAGCUUGCGUCGAUUACGUCCCUGCCCUUUGUACACACCGCCCGUCGCUCCUACCGAUUGGGUGUGCUGGUGAAAUGUUCGGAUCGGCCGUUUGUCGCGGUUUCCGCGUCAUGUGGCUGAGAAGUUCAUUAAACCCUCCCACCUAGAGGAAGGAGAAGUCGUAACA
This 325-nucleotide ribosomal RNA is filed under the name uncultured eukaryote. Its description in RNAcentral is "partial 18S ribosomal RNA". It matches the Rfam family "Eukaryotic small subunit ribosomal RNA", at positions 1470 to 1796 of the family's 1831-position model. The record is from RNAcentral.